This 2494-nucleotide long non-coding RNA is filed under the name Salmo salar (Atlantic salmon). RNAcentral describes it as "lncRNA (ENSSSAG00000086065.1)". Lineage: Eukaryota; Metazoa; Chordata; Actinopteri; Salmoniformes; Salmonidae. The record is from RNAcentral.
AUUAGAUGUCACACGGAUGCCAACAGAUUCAGCCUCUUUUUCAGAUUAAACUCUAAAGUUUAGAUAGAGUUGAUCACUUCACAGGACAUGUACCAAUACAAACAUUAAGCUUUUGUGUCUGUAUUUCUAAGCGGUUAGGCUAUAUCAUCCUAUUAUUUUGAGAUCUGAGUGUCAAGCAUUACACAAACUGAUUUCGUAUCAGUUCAUAUUACAACCCAUUUCGUUUAGGCUAUUAUCACUCACACUCUGACAAUGUCACAACCAAAAAUAUAAUUCUCAAAAUGAGAUUCAGGAAGAAAAUAAUUUACUGAGGUGAUUUUUUUUUUCCCCACUGGAAAUGGGGUAGUGUGAGUUCAAUGCUUCCUCCAACUCACACUAGUUUAACUGUUCUCCAGCGAACAAUGGGGUUUGCAUAGAAACUUUCCUUGCCUCAUUUGGCCAAGAUCUACUUUAGAUACAGAACACAGUGAGUUGCAAUGCAGUCUUAUGACCCAGUAAGAAUAUGUAACUCAGUGCCAUGUUAGUCACGCAUAGGCUACAUUCCUGCCUUCCAAACAGGAUAGGAACCAGGAACCGACUGUUUCAUUCUUCUAUAGGCUGCCCAACCUGUUCAUGGAGGCAUCACCAUACGUAAAUCAAUCUUAACACAAUGUUAAAGCUAAACAAAUGGGCUCUUUAUAUUUGUAUGAUCAACUUAGCACAUGUGGAACAAAUGUGAGCUGUUCUGUGAUAGUAAUGUGUUGCUAGUGUAUCGUACCACUAGCUGUCACUGGUAACAUGUUUCACCAUGCGAAUGCCCGGUGUCAAUCCCCUAGACCAGUGGCCACCAACCGGUCGAUCUUCAAGGCAUUCAUAGUCGAUCAUCAAAGAUUUCUGUAGAAGAGCCAAUGAUAAAGGCUUGCGUUCCGUUUGUUUGUGUUGUGCUGUGCUGUUUUUUUAAUUUAUUUUAUAUUUUUAUUUCACCUUUAUUUAACCAGGUAGGCAAGUUGAGAACAAGUUCUAAUUUACAACUGCGACCUGGCCAAGAUAAAGCAAAGCAGUUCGACACUUAUAACAACAGAGUUACAUGGAGAAAAACAAGUCUAUAUACAUUGUGAGCAAAUGAGGUGAGAUAAGGGAGGUAAAGGCAAUAAAUAGGCUAUGGUGGCGAAGUAAAUACAAUAUAGAAAUUAAAACAAUGGAAUGGUAGAUUUGACAGAUGGGUGUGCAAAGUAGAAAUACUGGGCUGCAAAGGAGCAAAAUAAAUACAGUAGGGGAAGAGGUAGUUGUUUGGGCUAUUUAUAGAUGCAGUGAUAUGUGAGCUGCUCUGACAGCUGGUGCUAAAAGCUAGUGAGGGAGAUAAGUGUUUCCAGUUUCAGAGAUUUUUUUGUAGUUCGUUCCAGUCAUUGGCAGCAGAGAACUGGAAGGAGAGGCGGCCAAAGGAGUAAUUGGCUUUGGGAGUGACAAGUGAGAUAUACCUGCUGGAACGUGUGCUACUGGUGGGUGCCGCUAUGGUGACCAGCGAGCAGAGAUAAGGCGGGACUUGGAGCCAGUGGGUUUGGCGACGAAUAUGAAGCGAGGGCUGUUGGCGGUAUGUGCACUUGAUUCAGAAGCCCUGCGCACCGAGAGGAAACGUAUUCCAAUUUUGAACCAUUUAAUUUGUCUGAAAAAACAAACUCCACCUGACCGGGAGAUCUGGGUCUAAAUCGAAUCUGCCUACUGUGAUGGCCAAUCGGAUAGCUCAAAUCACGGUGCUUACGGGCUUCCACGACCCCAGCGGCAACAGUUGAGUACUAUCCUACGAACAACACGAAUUUGUGUUAGAGUUAGAUGUGGUGCGACUGCGUUUCGCCAUCGGGUGGAAGACGGUGACAGUGUCACCGGAGGAAAGGAAGGAGAGAGCAGGGACAGUGAGAGGCGCACCAGCUGCUGCGCUCUCCCUCAGCUGAGACUAAUGCCAUGUUCAAAACAACUGGGAACUUGGAAAUCUCCGACUUCAGUGCGUCCAAGACAAUUGGGAAUUCAGGAGAAGGAAAAAAAAAUCUAGAUCCGACUGGGAAAGAUCGUUUAGAACGGUCAUCCAACUCAAAAUCCCCAUAUCUCAAACUGGCAUAUUUCUAAACCUCCGACCUGAAAGCACCAUGACCAUCAGAAGCAGGUACCAUCAGCCCAGUAAAAUAAAAAAGCCAUUUAUUUCAAUUUAUGCUCAGCUGUGCUUUCCAACUGCUACACCAAUCUAUUGGUGAUCUAUUUUCUAUUCAAAGCUCGAAAAUGUAAUAAUCUGGUCUGAGAAGAACAAUAUUGGCAGGGCAGGCAUUUAGGGGAGGGUCGUCUGGGUUUGGCUGGGGUAGGUGGUCAUUGUAAAAUAAGAAUUUGUUCUUAACUGACUUACCUAGUUAAAAUAAGGUUAAAUAUAACCAAUAUGCUGUGAUAAUGUAUUAGGCCUAUUGCACAAACCUCAUUCUUACAGAACUGUUUUUAUUAGGGUAAUGUAAAAAAAAAAAAAAAAAGUCAG